This 33-nucleotide transfer RNA is filed under the name Cyrtodactylus malayanus. Its description in RNAcentral is "partial tRNA-Tyr". Lineage: Eukaryota; Metazoa; Chordata; Lepidosauria; Squamata; Gekkonidae. The record is from RNAcentral.
UAGCCUCGUGAACGGGAACAGUCCCCCUAACCA